Molecule: long non-coding RNA, 828 nt
Organism: Armigeres subalbatus
Lineage: Eukaryota; Metazoa; Arthropoda; Insecta; Diptera; Culicidae
Exons: 3
Source: RefSeq, a predicted model, not a curated record
UAAAGAAAAUGUGAAAAAUCAUCUUUAAUCGAUGGCCACUUCGCAAUUUCCGUAAAUUUCUAUAAAACCAUCUGGAGGAAUUCUGGAGGAAUUGCUGCGUGAGCAAGUAUAAUACUCGUUGCCGAAAACGAAAACGGAUCUGUUCCUGAGUUCGCGUGUUGUGAGUGUCGAGGGCCCAGUUUCCUUCGGACUUUUGAGCGCAUCUACCUGAAACCGCUGUAAGGAUUCAUCGCCCAGCCCAACAGUGCCAUGAGCCGAUCCACAAGCAGUCAUCAAAAGUCUACUUCCUGUGACCAUUUCAGCUGCUUUGGGGUACAUAUCCUGCCGCUGCACCAAAACAGAGGGGUACAAUUCGGCCUCGAACUGCGGCGACAUGGCGACAUGAUGUUGAGGCUGAUGAAGGAUUUAGUUCUGCGAUUUGAUCGCAACAGGAUGACCUCGGAACCGGAACCCAUGUGAGAACUUUAAGGUGCUAUCGACGCCAAAUAGUCUGAUGUGAUGAAAUGAUGCAAUCAUGAUAGACAUCGAAAUAACGUCCGGUAUUGAAGAAAAUAACACUAUUCUGUAGAUGUUCGGUUGAGAUUUGAUGUUGAGGUAAACAGCAAUGCCGUUUAAAAGAUGCGGAAUACACGAACGAUUGGCCUGAAAAGAGGUAUCAUUGUACUGUUGAGCAUAUAAUUCAACCAGCUGCCGGAAAAUGAGUAAGAUCUAUCCGUUUUCGUCAGAACAAAAAAAGGUGCAGCAUCGAUAACAAUGAAUCCGGACUAUGCCAACAAAACAAAACGAAAACCACAAAAACGUUCUCUUAUUCUGUAUGUAUGAUAUGUA